This 429-nucleotide ribosomal RNA is filed under the name uncultured bacterium. Its description in RNAcentral is "bacterial SSU rRNA". It matches the Rfam family "Bacterial small subunit ribosomal RNA", at positions 355 to 775 of the family's 1533-position model. The record is from RNAcentral.
UGGGGAAUAUUGGACAAUGGGCGAAAGCCUGAUCCAGCGACGCCGCGUGGGUGAUGAAGGCCUUCGGGUUGUAAAGCCCUGUGGGCAGGGAAGAAAACGUUGCGGUCAAAUAGGCCGCGACCUUGACGGUACCUGCUCAGAAAGCACCGGCUAACUCUGUGCCAGCAGCCGCGGUAAGACAGAGGGUGCAAACGUUGCUCGGAAUUACUGGGCGUAAAGCGCGUGUAGGCGGGUCGGUGUGUCGGGUGUGAAAUCCCCAGGCUCAACCUGGGAACUGCAUUCGAAACUACCGGCCUAGAGUGGUGGAGAGGGAAGUGGAAUUCCUGGUGUAGAGGUGAAAUUCGUAGAUAUCAGGAGGAACACCAGUGGCGAAGGCGGCUUCCUGGACACCAACUGACGCUGAGACGCGAAAGCGUGGGGAGCAAACAG